AACGAACGCUGGCGGCAGGCCUAACACAUGCAAGUCGAACGCCGUAGCAAUACGGAGUGGCAGACGGGUGAGUAACACGUGGGAACGUACCCUUCGGUUCGGAAUAACUCAGGGAAACUUGAGCUAAUACCGGAUACGUCCGAGAGGAGAAAGAUUUAUCGCCGAGGGAUCGGCCCGCGUCUGAUUAGCUUGUUGGUGAGGUAACGGCUCACCAAGGCGACGAUCAGUAGCUGGUCGAGAGGAUGAUCAGCCACAUUGGGACUGAGACACGGCCCAAACUCCUACGGGAGGCAGCAGUGGGGAAUAUUGGACAAUGGGCGCAAGCCUGAUCCAGCCAUGCCGCGUGAGCGAUGAAGGCCCCUAGGGUUGUAAAGCUCUUUUACCCGGGAAGAUAAUGACUGUACCGGGAGAAUAAGCCCCGGCUAACUUCGUGCCAGCCGCCGCCGUAAG
This 450-nucleotide ribosomal RNA is filed under the name uncultured bacterium. Its description in RNAcentral is "bacterial SSU rRNA". It matches the Rfam family "Bacterial small subunit ribosomal RNA", at positions 29 to 524 of the family's 1533-position model. The record is from RNAcentral.